UUCUCAUCUAAAUCCUUCGAUCAUUAGUGUUUCAGCUUCUCUAAGUGUGGGGUGCCAUAGGAGGUGGGUUUAUCAAAUCUUUGGAUACCAUAUCUACUUGUGCGUGUGGAUUUGAGGCUUGUGCCAUAGGGUACUGACGCGGAACCCUAUGGCACAAGCCUCAAACCCACACGCACAAGUAGAUACGGAAUCCAAAGAUUUGAUAAACCCACCUCCUAUGGCACCCCAAAUUUAGAGAAGCUGAAACACCAAUGAUCGAAGGAUUUAGAUGAGAAUCUGACAAACGCCACAACGAAUAGUUGAUAAGUAAGCCAAGAUUCCUGGUGCAAUUGAUGAAAGCAAAUCCUCACUCUCACUCAAAGCAAUACACGCCAAAGGCAUGAAAAUAAUUCUAAAAUUUUGAUUAAAAGCUACCUCUUACAAUUGUUUCUUAUCCUUAUAUAGUAAGGAGAAAAACAAAUAAAACCCUAAGACACUCUUUUUGGGCCUGACUUAAACACAUAAGGCCCAAGCCCAAUCACACACUAAAAUAACACAUAAGUAUUAAAACAUAAGCCCAAAACAUGACCCAACACUCUAAAACUUAAAAGAUAAAAUAUGGCCAGAAUACAAGCCCAAACAAAGCUAAAAUAAAAUAAGUGUUCAAAUAAUAAAACAUAGCAAGCCCAUCAUAACAAAGCUGAAUCUUCACAAAAACCUUAUUUGAUCUUCACUUUAGGCUUUCCUUUGUAUAGUUUUAGCCCAUAGGUUUGAUUAGGCUCUCUAAGCCUAUGAUUGCAAGUGUUGCACCAAAUCUGUCCCAUAUGAGUUGAAGCACGCCCCAAAUAUAUAUGGAUCAUAUGAAUAUGAUUUUGAACUCCUUUUAGAUCCAUUUGAAUGACAUAAGUUUGCUCCACACCAUUGUUAGAAAUUUGUCCUAUUGGAUCCGUAUCAGGUUCUGCGUCAAAAAAGUUCUCUAUAAAUAUUAGCACUAAUAAAAAUUGAUGGAGAGAAAAUUAAUUAAUUUAUAAGGACGUUUUUGCUAAGUGUUAUAAAUAAAUUACCAUAUUGUGACAUUUUUUUUUAUUUCAUUAUUAGUAAGAAUAAUUAAUUAUUUUUUAGGAAUGUUUUCAUGAAAAUACCACAAAUAAGUUACCAAUAUGGUAGUUUUAUAGCUAUCAAUAUUUAUCAACUUUUUGCUGAUGAAAUAGAAACGUCUUUAUAAGUAUUAGUGUCAAUAUGAAAUUGUUGGAGGGAAAAUUAAUCAAUUUGCAAAGAUUUUUACAUAAUGUAAUAAAUAAAUUACCUUUCACGAAUGAAAUCAAAACGUCUCUAUAGCUUUUGGUGCCGGUAUCAAUACGGCAAAUUUCUAACAAUGGUGUGGAGCAAACUUAUGUCAUUCAAAUGGAUCUAAAAGGAGUUCAAAAUCAUAUUCAUAUAAUCCAUAUAUAUUUGGGGCGUGCUUCAACUCAUAUAGGACAGAUUUGGUGCAACAAUUGCAAUCAUAAGCUUAGGGAGCCUAAUCAAACCUAUGGGCUAAAACUACACAAAGGGAAGCCUAAAGUGAAGAUCAAGUAAGGCUUUUGUGAAGAAUCAACUUUGUUAUGAUGGGCUUGCUAUAUUUUUAUUAUUUAACACUUGUUUUAUUUUAGGUUUGUUUGGGCUUGUAUUCUGGCCAUACUUUAUCUUUUAUAUUUUAGAGUGUUGGGCCAUGUUUUGGGCUUAUGUUUUACUACUUAUGUGUUAUUUUAGUGUGUGAUUGGGCUUGGGCCUUAUGUGUUUAAGUGAGGCCCAAGAAGAGUGUCUUAGGGUUUUAUUUACUUUCUCCUUACUAUAUAAGGAUUAGAAACACUUGUAAGAGGCAACUUUUAAUCAAAAUUUCAGAAUUCUUUUCAUGCCUUUGGCGUGUAUUGCUUUGAGUGAGAGUGAGGAUUUGCUUUCAUCAAUUGCACCAAGAAUCUUGGCUAACUUAUCAAUUAUUUGUUGUGGCGUUUGUCAGAUUCUCAUCUAAAUCCUUCGAUCAUUGGUGUUUCAGCUUCUCUAAGUGUGGGGUGCCAUAGGAGGUGGGUUUAUCAAAUCUUUGGAUUCCAUAUCUACUUGUGCGUGUGGGUUUGAGGCUUGUGCCAUAGGGUUCCGCGUCAGUUGGUAUCAGAGCCAAAGUGAGGUAAAUUCUUAUUUAUCUUAGGAUCUAGGGUUUUU
RNAcentral lists this long non-coding RNA (2178 nucleotides) under Manihot esculenta (cassava). RNAcentral describes it as "long non-coding RNA (MESC_LNC004807)". Lineage: Eukaryota; Viridiplantae; Streptophyta; Magnoliopsida; Malpighiales; Euphorbiaceae. The record is from RNAcentral.